Molecule: ribosomal RNA, 484 nt
Filed under: uncultured bacterium
Lineage: Bacteria
Description: partial 16S ribosomal RNA
Rfam family: Bacterial small subunit ribosomal RNA
Source: RNAcentral
AUUGAACGCUGGCGGAAUGCUUUACACAUGCAAGUCGAACGGCAGCACGGGGGCAACCCUGGUGGCGAGUGGCGAACGGGUGAGUAAUACAUCGGAACGUGCCCGGUCGUGGGGGAUAACGUAGCGAAAGUUACGCUAAUACCGCAUACGAUCUGAGGAUGAAAGCGGGGGACCUUCGGGCCUCGCGCGAUCGGAGCGGCCGAUGUCAGAUUAGGUAGUUGGUGGGGUAAAGGCCUACCAAGCCGAUGAUCUGUAGCUGGUCUGAGAGGACGACCAGCCACACUGGGACUGAGACACGGCCCAGACUCCUACGGGAGGCAGCAGUGGGGAAUUUUGGACAAUGGGCGCAAGCCUGAUCCAGCCAUUCCGCGUGCAGGACGAAGGCCUUCGGGUUGUAAACUGCUUUUGUAUGGAACGAAAAGGCUCUGGCUAAUACCUGGGGCUCAUGACGGUACCGUAAGAAUAAGCACCGGCUAACUACGUG